UUUGGUGGCAAUAGCAAAGAGGUCACACCUGUUCCCAUUCCGAACACAGCAGUUAAGCUCUUUAGCGCCGAUGGUACUUGGGGGGCAGCCCCCUGGGAGAGUAGGACGUCGCCAAUU
Molecule: ribosomal RNA, 117 nt
Filed under: Aestuariibacter sp.
Lineage: Bacteria; Pseudomonadati; Pseudomonadota; Gammaproteobacteria; Alteromonadales; Alteromonadaceae
Source: RNAcentral